GCCCGCCUAGCUCAAUCGGAUAGAGCGUCAGACUCUUACGAGCCAGAACAUGGUGGGUUAUCUGAAGGCUGCGAGUUCGACCCUCGCGGUGGGCU
Molecule: transfer RNA, 95 nt
Organism: Schizopora paradoxa
Lineage: Eukaryota; Fungi; Basidiomycota; Agaricomycetes; Hymenochaetales; Schizoporaceae
Rfam family: tRNA
About the family: Transfer RNA (tRNA) molecules are approximately 80 nucleotides in length. Their secondary structure includes four short double-helical elements and three loops (D, anti-codon, and T loops). Further hydrogen bonds mediate the characteristic L-shaped molecular structure. tRNAs have two regions of fundamental functional importance: the anti-codon, which is responsible for specific mRNA codon recognition, and the 3' end, to which the tRNAs corresponding amino acid is attached (by aminoacyl-tRNA synthetases). tRNAs cope with the degeneracy of the genetic code in two manners: having more than one tRNA (with a specific anti-codon) for a particular amino acid; and 'wobble' base-pairing, i.e. permitting non-standard base-pairing at the 3rd anti-codon position.
Source: Rfam